CGGAAGAUAAGACGGAUUAGCGGCGGACGGGUGAGUAACACGUGAGUAACCUGCCUUUUACACAGGGAUAGCCUCGGGAAACCGGGAUUAAAACCUGAUGAAACCAUCAAAUCACAUGAUUAAGAAAGUUAAAACUCCGGUGGUAAAAGAUGGACUCGCGUCCCAUUAGCUAGUUGGUGAAGGUAACGGCCCACCAAGGCAACGAUGGGUAGCCGGCCUGAGAGGGUGAACGGCCACAUUGGAACUGAGACACGGCCCAGACUCCUCGGGAGGCAGCAGCU
Molecule: ribosomal RNA, 281 nt
Filed under: uncultured Peptoniphilus sp.
Lineage: Bacteria; Bacillati; Bacillota; Tissierellia; Tissierellales; Peptoniphilaceae
Description: partial 16S ribosomal RNA
Rfam family: Bacterial small subunit ribosomal RNA
Source: RNAcentral